GGAGAGGUGGCCGAGUGGUCGAAGGCGCUUGAUUGGAAUUCAAGUAUACGGUAACCCCGUAUCGUGGGUUCGAAUCCCACCCUCUCCGCCA
Molecule: transfer RNA, 91 nt
Filed under: Gammaproteobacteria bacterium
Lineage: Bacteria; Pseudomonadati; Pseudomonadota; Gammaproteobacteria
Also listed under: 3 other names
Description: tRNA-Ser
Rfam family: tRNA
About the family: Transfer RNA (tRNA) molecules are approximately 80 nucleotides in length. Their secondary structure includes four short double-helical elements and three loops (D, anti-codon, and T loops). Further hydrogen bonds mediate the characteristic L-shaped molecular structure. tRNAs have two regions of fundamental functional importance: the anti-codon, which is responsible for specific mRNA codon recognition, and the 3' end, to which the tRNAs corresponding amino acid is attached (by aminoacyl-tRNA synthetases). tRNAs cope with the degeneracy of the genetic code in two manners: having more than one tRNA (with a specific anti-codon) for a particular amino acid; and 'wobble' base-pairing, i.e. permitting non-standard base-pairing at the 3rd anti-codon position.
Source: RNAcentral